Heterocephalus glaber (naked mole-rat) is the source of this 1202-nucleotide non-coding RNA. NCBI's taxonomy places the organism in Eukaryota, Metazoa, Chordata, Mammalia, Rodentia, Bathyergidae. The record is from RefSeq and is a predicted model, not a curated record.
ACCGGGAUUGAACUCAAGACCUUGCGCUUGCGAGGCAGGCAUAUUAAUAUUAUUAUUAUUGGCUUUUUUGAGACAGGGUCUCAUUGUGCAGUUCAGGCUGGCCUCAAACUCACUUUGUACCCCAUGCUGGCCUGCAACUCAUCAUGUUCCUCCUGCCUCAGCUUCCCGAGUUCUGGGAUUACAGGCAUGUGCCAUCACGCACACGGCUGGGCUCGUGGUUUUCGAGCUGAGUCUGUGAUUGGUUGGCCCUGUUGCCUUGACAGGAACAUGUGGCAGGGCACAGCCGGUCAUCCUGUCUGUGUUUGGGGGACACCUGAGAUCCGAACCAGAGCACCCACUUUGCUGUACCCUCCCAGAGAUGCCUUGAAAGCGGAACUGUUGGACUCAUGUUGACCAGUGCUUGACCAGCGUCCAUUGCGAGCAUGAAUAAAGUCCAUUUACGCUUUCCCCAUGACUAACUCCUGAUCCUCCCAAGCCCUGGACUCCUAAAGAGCAACAGGGCCUCUGCUGUGCUGGAAGAGUCAGGGUUUGGCCUGACUGCUGAUUUCUUUCUGCUAAAUUUUACACCCCCUUUGCCACCUUCCCCCAGGACCCCGUGGGCCAUGAGAAUGGUAGAUGCUGAGACACAAGACUCCAAGAGCCAGCACAAGGAUGGAGGCUUGUGACACAGCGCGGUGGACAGGAGUGGAGGGGCCAGUCCUGCUUUGGCUCCUUUGAGCCGUGCGGCCUCAGCUGUAUUCCUAACCUCAUUGCUGCCAUGGUACAGUGGGGUCUCCAGACUCCACCUGGUUGGAUUGUGUGAGGACAGAGACCAGCAUAUGGAGAACCCAGGCUUUGGCCAAAGCCAGAUCAUUUCCACAGCACGAGAUGAACCACAUUUGGAAGAAGAACUGCUCCUGAACUUGGGCGAGUACCUGUAAUGUAAAAGAAGAACUAAAAACAAAACAAAAAAAUUUCUAAGAGUCUUAAAGGCACAGCAAGUUUGUAAAUUGGGUGACACCUCCGCCCUCAAGGAAGCCACAGUUAUUCAUGAGUAGCAGACCUCGACUUCAGCACACAUGGAAAUGGUUUGCAUGCCGACAUCGCCGGCCAGGUGGGUGACACCAGAUGGUCACCGUGACCAACAGCAGGAGCACACAGCCUGGAUCACCCAUCUUGAAGACACCCCAGGAACCCAUAAAUAAACCAGCUUUGGAUCAUAA